GGGUUGUGAGGUUAAGUGACUAAGCGUACACGGUGGAUGCCCUGGCAGUCAGAGGCGAUGAAGGACGUGCUAAUCUGCGAUAAGCGUCGGUAAGGUGAUAUGAACCGUUAUAACCGGCGAUUUCCGAAUGGGGAAACCCAGUGUGUUUCGACACACUAUCAUUAACUGAAUCCAUAGGUUAAUGAGGCGAACCGGGGGAACUGAAACAUCUAAGUACCCCGAGGAAAAGAAAUCAACCGAGAUUCCCCCAGUAGCGGCGAGCGAACGGGGAGCAGCCCAGAGCCUGAAUCAGUGUGUGUGUUAGUGGAAGCGUCUGGAAAGGCGCGCGAUACAGGGUGACAGCCCCGUACACAAAAAUGCACAUACUGUGAGCUCGAUGAGUAGGGCGGGACACGUGGUAUCCUGUCUGAAUAUGGGGGACCAUCCUCCAAGGCUAAAUACUCCUGACUGACCGAUAGUGAACCAGUACCGUGAGGGAAAGGCGAAAAGAACCCCGGCGAGGGGAGUGAAAAAGAACCUGAAACCGUGUACGUACAAGCAGUGGGAGCACGCUUAGGCGUGUGACUGCGUACCUUUUGUAUAAUGGGUCAGCGACUUAUAUUCUGUAGCAAGGUUAACCGAAUAGGGGAGCCGAAGGGAAACCGAGUCUUAACUGGGCGUUAAGUUGCAGGGUAUAGACCCGAAACCCGGUGAUCUAGCCAUGGGCAGGUUGAAGGUUGGGUAACACUAACUGGAGGACCGAACCGACUAAUGUUGAAAAAUUAGCGGAUGACUUGUGGCUGGGGGUGAAAGGCCAAUCAAACCGGGAGAUAGCUGGUUCUCCCCGAAAGCUAUUUAGGUAGCGCCUCGUGAAUUCAUCUCCGGGGGUAGAGCACUGUUUCGGCAAGGGGGUCAUCCCGACUUACCAACCCGAUGCAAACUGCGAAUACCGGAGAAUGUUAUCACGGGAGACACACGGCGGGUGCUAACGUCCGUCGUGAAGAGGGAAACAACCCAGACCGCCAGCUAAGGUCCCAAAGUCAUGGUUAAGUGGGAAACGAUGUGGGAAGGCCCAGACAGCCAGGAUGUUGGCUUAGAAGCAGCCAUCAUUUAAAGAAAGCGUAAUAGCUCACUGGUCGAGUCGGCCUGCGCGGAAGAUGUAACGGGGCUAAACCAUGCACCGAAGCUGCGGCAGCGACGCUGAUGCGUUGUUGGGUAGGGGAGCGUUCUGUAAGCCUGUGAAGGUGUGCUGUGAGGCAUGCUGGAGGUAUCAGAAGUGCGAAUGCUGACAUAAGUAACGAUAAAGCGGGUGAAAAGCCCGCUCGCCGGAAGACCAAGGGUUCCUGUCCAACGUUAAUCGGGGCAGGGUGAGUCGACCCCUAAGGCGAGGCCGAAAGGCGUAGUCGAUGGGAAACAGGUUAAUAUUCCUGUACUUGGUGUUACUGCGAAGGGGGACGGAGAAGGCUAUGUUGGCCGGGCGACGGUUGUCCCGGUUUAAGCGUGUAGGCUGGUUUUCCAGGCAAAUCCGGAAAACUAAGGCUGAGGCGUGAUGACGAGGCACUACGGUGCUGAAGCAACAAAUGCCCUGCUUCCAGGAAAAGCCUCUAAGCAUCAGGUAACAUCAAAUCGUACCCCAAACCGACACAGGUGGUCAGGUAGAGAAUACCAAGGCGCUUGAGAGAACUCGGGUGAAGGAACUAGGCAAAAUGGUGCCGUAACUUCGGGAGAAGGCACGCUGAUAUGUAGGUGAAGCGACUUGCUCGUGGAGCUGAAAUCAGUCGAAGAUACCAGCUGGCUGCAACUGUUUAUUAAAAACACAGCACUGUGCAAACACGAAAGUGGACGUAUACGGUGUGACGCCUGCCCGGUGCCGGAAGGUUAAUUGAUGGGGUCAGCGCAAGCGAAGCUCUUGAUCGAAGCCCCGGUAAACGGCGGCCGUAACUAUAACGGUCCUAAGGUAGCGAAAUUCCUUGUCGGGUAAGUUCCGACCUGCACGAAUGGCGUAAUGAUGGCCAGGCUGUCUCCACCCGAGACUCAGUGAAAUUGAACUCGCUGUGAAGAUGCAGUGUACCCGCGGCAAGACGGAAAGACCCCGUGAACCUUUACUAUAGCUUGACACUGAACAUUGAGCCUUGAUGUGUAGGAUAGGUGGGAGGCUUUGAAGUGUGGACGCCAGUCUGCAUGGAGCCGACCUUGAAAUACCACCCUUUAAUGUUUGAUGUUCUAACGUUGACCCGUGAUCCGGGUUGCGGACAGUGUCUGGUGGGUAGUUUGACUGGGGCGGUCUCCUCCUAAAGAGUAACGGAGGAGCACGAAGGUUGGCUAAUCCUGGUCGGACAUCAGGAGGUUAGUGCAAUGGCAUAAGCCAGCUUGACUGCGAGCGUGACGGCGCGAGCAGGUGCGAAAGCAGGUCAUAGUGAUCCGGUGGUUCUGAAUGGAAGGGCCAUCGCUCAACGGAUAAAAGGUACUCCGGGGAUAACAGGCUGAUACCGCCCAAGAGUUCAUAUCGACGGCGGUGUUUGGCACCUCGAUGUCGGCUCAUCACAUCCUGGGGCUGAAGUAGGUCCCAAGGGUAUGGCUGUUCGCCAUUUAAAGUGGUACGCGAGCUGGGUUUAGAACGUCGUGAGACAGUUCGGUCCCUAUCUGCCGUGGGCGCUGGAGAACUGAGGGGGGCUGCUCCUAGUACGAGAGGACCGGAGUGGACGCAUCACUGGUGUUCGGGUUGUCAUGCCAAUGGCACUGCCCGGUAGCUAAAUGCGGAAGAGAUAAGUGCUGAAAGCAUCUAAGCACGAAACUUGCCCCGAGAUGAGUUCUCCCUGACUCCUUGAGAGUCCUGAAGGAACGUUGAAGACGACGACGUUGAUAGGCCGGGUGUGUAAGCGCAGCGAUGCGUUGAGCUAACCGGUACUAAUGAACCGUGAGGCUUAACCUUACAACGCCGAAGCUGUU
Molecule: ribosomal RNA, 2928 nt
Filed under: Escherichia coli O121 str. RM8352
Lineage: Bacteria; Pseudomonadati; Pseudomonadota; Gammaproteobacteria; Enterobacterales; Enterobacteriaceae
Description: bacterial LSU rRNA
Rfam family: Bacterial large subunit ribosomal RNA
Source: RNAcentral